Molecule: long non-coding RNA, 1199 nt
Organism: Raphanus sativus (radish)
Lineage: Eukaryota; Viridiplantae; Streptophyta; Magnoliopsida; Brassicales; Brassicaceae
Exons: 2
Source: RefSeq, a predicted model, not a curated record
GAUGCCAACCCAAUCCCUAAUCCAACUCCAACACCUAAAGCUGACAGCAACACGCUCUUCUGCUCCAUUUUUUCUCACCGAUAGAACAAAACCCUCGUUGCUAAACCACAAGAUCUAAGAGGGAUUCAACGUGCAUUCCAAGAUUGUAGGUGGACGAUGGAGAAGAAGAAAGAAGAUGGGUCUCUAUUUAUAGCGACGUUUGGGUUAGUCUUAUGGACGUUAACCCUUUCUUUCCCGGGAAAAAGCAAACUCAGAUGAAAACUUUCUGAUAAAUAAAUAAUAUUAUAUCCAAAAAAAAAUCCAGAAAAUUUACCUUUAAUUAUUUUUUUUGUCCAAAGAAAUUAGUUAAGUUUUCUGUCAGUGGAAAUAAAAUAUAAUAAUAUAAAGUAAGAAAAUAGUUUUUGAUCGGUAACCGGGUUUUCUUGUUUUUUCAUGUCUUUUUCUUGAACUCUAUUUUUUGAAUUUUUCUUAGUUUAUACUGUAACUGAAACUACUCAGUUAUGGACGUAUAUGUUGGCCGUUUCUGUGGUGAAAGUCACGCAUGGGCGGAGUUACUAAUUACUAUUACCAAAUGAGUUCUCGUAAAUAAAUUUCUUUCUCCUUAGUUAGUCAAAAUUUAAUUUACAGUUGGGCCUGUUUCAUAUACGUGAACCAUCCCCUUAUUAUUUACGAGAACUCAUUUGGUUCUCAUGCGUGACUUUCCCCACAGAAACGGCCACAUUAUACAUAUGUCCUGUCCAUAACUGAGUAAUUUCAGUUACGGUAUAAAUUAAGAAAAAUUCAAAAAUAGAGUUCAAGAAAAAGACAUGAAAAACAGGCAUAUACCCGGUUGAAAUAACAAAACAAAUUAUACAUCAAUAAUCUUAAAGUUAAACACAUAUAUUGGGUGAUGCAGUCUUCUCAAAUACACUAUAUCUUGUUCAUGCAAAUGUGUAUCACAAUACGCGUGUCUCUACAAGCGUUAACGACCAAAAUCAUCUUAAAAGUUUCGUGGAAUGAAAAAGGAACCAGAGAAUGAACUCAAAAUGAUAUUUGUUAUAUACUCUGUUUAUCAGAUUCUAUGUAUCGGUUUAAUAAGCAAAAUCUUUUAACUAGUUUGUAUUGUAUAUGAGGUCUCAAACCCCUUACAGAUGGAUUAUACAUAUUGUGUAAUCCCUUCUUCUCAAUCAAAGUCAUGAAUAAUUAAGAACUUUGGUGAA